GGGAGGAUUCCAGAGUGGCUAAAUGGGGCAGACUGUAAAUCUGUUGGCGACGCCUUCGGAGGUUCGAAUCCUUCUCCUCCCACCA
Molecule: transfer RNA, 85 nt
Filed under: Bacteroidales bacterium
Lineage: Bacteria; Pseudomonadati; Bacteroidota; Bacteroidia; Bacteroidales
Description: tRNA-Tyr
Rfam family: tRNA
About the family: Transfer RNA (tRNA) molecules are approximately 80 nucleotides in length.
Source: RNAcentral